This 253-nucleotide ribosomal RNA is filed under the name uncultured bacterium. RNAcentral describes it as "partial 16S ribosomal RNA". It matches the Rfam family "Bacterial small subunit ribosomal RNA", at positions 524 to 776 of the family's 1533-position model. The record is from RNAcentral.
UACAGAGGUCUCAAGCGUUGUUCGGAUUCAUUGGGCGUAAAGGGCGCGUAGGCGGCGGGGUAAGUCGGGUGUGAAAUCUCAGGGCUCAACCCUGAAACUGCACUCGAUACUGCUCUGCUUGAGGACUGGAGAGGAGACUGGAAUUCACGGUGUAGCAGUGAAAUGCGUAGAUAUCGUGAGGAAGACCAGUGGCGAAGGCGAGUCUCUGGACAGUUACUGACACUGAGGCACGAAGGCCAGGGGAGCAAACGGG